UACGAAGGGGGCUAGCGUUGUUCGGAAUUACUGGGCGUAAAGCGCGCGCAGGCGGUCUUCCAAGUCAGUGGUGAAAGCCCGGAGCUCAACUCCGGAACUGCCAUUGAAACUGUAAGACUUGAGGAUGAGAGAGGUGAGUGGAAUUCCCAGUGUAGAGGUGAAAAUUCGUAGAUAUGGGGGAGGAACACCGGUGGCGAAGGCGGCCACCUGGACGGUAACUGACGCUGAGACGCGAAAGCGUGGGGAGCAAACAGG
Molecule: ribosomal RNA, 255 nt
Filed under: uncultured bacterium
Lineage: Bacteria
Description: partial 16S ribosomal RNA
Rfam family: Bacterial small subunit ribosomal RNA
Source: RNAcentral